AAAUAAAACGAUAGUACAAAAGAGUAUUUCCCUAUUUUUUCACAAAGAGUUCCAUGAUUUGAGCCAAUGUUUGCCAAAAACUCGAAAUCAAGCCUCUUUCUCAAUGUCGCCAAUUUCUUUCCCCAAAUAAACUGCUACUGCUAGUCUGCUGCAAAGCUUGUGCUAAGUGUUCGAUCAAAUGCUGAACUCAAGCAACAAAGCAUGGAGAAUCAUCCCAAGACCUUUACUCGAAACUGUUCUCAACAACCAUGUCCAACAUCACCGUGUUCAUCAACCUCUCAUCCUCCACGGCCCUCGCGGCGUCGGCAAAACCACCGUCAUCCUCGAACGUUUAAUGGAGAAUUGGAACAAAGGACCCCAUCUUACAGGAUACAUUGAUUUUGCGCAACCCAUUAAGGAGUACCACCCAUCUCACAAUGCUUCAUUUCCAUGGUGUUCUUGGAAUUCCUGCUCUGUAACUCUUCCUUCUCUCUCUUUAUUGAGUACCCAUUUGGAGAAAUGUCUAGAAUCAAUGGCUGAAAGGGGGAUUGAGUUGGGACAAAUUAAUUCGCAUCAAAUUUUUACUACCCUUAAUAAGUGGCAUGGGAUUAGUCAUACCCUCAGGCACAUUUUGAAAUCGUCUUCGAAUUCGAGCUCGAAAAUUGGGGCGAUUUCGAGUAAGGUUUCGGCUUCUGUGUUGUGGGAUAAGGCUGUUUUUGCUUAUUCUGGUAAGUUGAAUAGUAAGGAGAUUGAGGGGGUUGUUGGGUUGGAGGGAGGUAAAAAGGGGUUGACUGUUGAGGAGAGGUCUUACUUGAAAGAGGCUGUGGUUGCUUUGAGAUUGGCAAAGGAGGUUAUAAGGGUUCAGCAGCAGUGGAGGGCUAAAGCUGUUGGUGAUUUGAAUAGGACUGGUGGGUUUUCGAGAUCACUGGCGAUGUCGGCUACUGAUUGGCCGUAUUUGUUGCUAGAAUUGUUGUCUUCAGCUUCUGAAAUGGAUCAUUUUCAGCCAAAGCUCGUGAUUAAUAAUAUAGAACUCCUGAAGAAUGCUAUUUCGACAAAUGAUUCUACAGUUUCUGCACCAACUUACCAUGAUAGUUUAAUAUGGAGAAUUAUAUCUUUGGGGGCAAAUGAGAUGUGUCUUCCCAUCAUUUUUGUAACAUCCGAUAGCUACUAUUCGUAUCAUGCGUACAUCGAUUUUGGUUUUCCAGACAUUUUUAUAUCCCGUGAGACCUUCGGUUGGACGCCCAAUGAAGGCAAAUUACAUAUGUUUCCUGACUACUUCAGUGGCUCAGAGUGGACAAUAGUUACUGAAGUGCUUGGUGCAAAUUCACGUCAUUUAUUCGAACUUCACGCACUCAAAGAAAGCAACCAAUAUCUCAACAUGAUAGAUCAUACACGCAGCACCUUUGAGGAUAUAGUGGAUGCAUAUUUGGCAUAUCUACAGAUUACUGUGGUGAAUCCAGCCAUGGACAAAGCUUUGUCACUUCUGCAAAAAUUUGCUCUUGAUGCACUCAAUGGAAAGAUACCAAAAGAUAAAUUACGUUUUGGUGCUCCUUGGAGGCAUCCUCCGCGCACAGAUGAUCCAAGUCUUCGUUUGGAGUGGGCAAAGGUUCAACUUAUGGAUUUCGUGCAGUCAUUGGUUAAUACUGAAUUUGGGCUUAACUAUUUUGCUGAUUGCAGCCUUGAAAUAUUUGAUGAUCCUUCAGCUGUAGCAUUGUUAGAGGUGGGUGUGCUUUAUGCUCAACGAGAUCCAUCCUUCAUUCGUCCAGUGUCUCGUGGUAUGCAAAGAUGCCUGGUGAGAUGGCUUGUCCAGGAGCAACUACAGAUGAACUGGUUUGCCUCCCUGCGUUUUCUGUGGCAAAGAUUAUUCCGAGGUCGCUACUAUCGGCACUUGAUGUUACAAGUUGGCUAUAAAUUCUAAAUUACACGAGCCAACACGAGGAGCUGUCCUAAGGGUCUGAUUAUAUGUGCAUGAACAGCAUUGAUGUCUUUAGGAAACAAAUGUGGGUAAAUGACCAGAGAACUUGCUGAAUUAGAGGAAGUUUCAGAAAGGAUCUGAGAUGCUUUACUUAAAACUCUUUCUUUGAAGCUAUAGUGCAGUACAUAAAAGGUAAUUUAUCUAGGAGUUUAUCAUUGUAUGUAGGGGUGAACAAAAAUCUCAGAUGCAUAAACAUACCUGGUUUCAGAUCCUGAAUCACUUGGGAUCCGACAAGUCCAGACUCUCCGGCUUUGGCAGAACCUGUUUUAAAUCCCAAAAUCUGUUAUCUGUUGCUAAUCUAGUCCAGAUUCUCCAAUUUUUGACCCAGAACCCGCUUGAUAAAAUCAGUAAUGGAAACCAUUACCAGAACUAGCUUCUCAAGCAUUUACACAAUUACACCCAAGCCCAAGAAUAAAGUUUGUUUACUGCCUAGUUACUUCAUAGUAUAUAUACUGUUCUGAAAAAUGUGGCUAAUGCAUACUGUACAUUCUUUUAUUGCUUUGUUGCCUGAAACAAAUGGUAUUACAUAAAAUGCCAAGUGAAAGGUCAAAAUUCUUGAAGUUUGAAUUCAUUUAUUGUAUGAGAAGAUUGAAAUAACAGGAAUUAUAUUUUCAAGCA
Chenopodium quinoa (quinoa) is the source of this 2572-nucleotide RNA transcript. RefSeq lists it as uncharacterized. Lineage: Eukaryota; Viridiplantae; Streptophyta; Magnoliopsida; Caryophyllales; Amaranthaceae. The record is from RefSeq and is a predicted model, not a curated record. The transcript is spliced from 13 exons.